CUUUUUUAUUAUUAUUUAUUUCACCAAUCUGAAUCGAAAAUUGUAAUACUGCAUUACAUAUUGUAACAAAGUCAUUCUCUAAUAUACAAACUGGAGUUGAAAAUAUCUUCAAGUUAUUUAAUGGUAAAUUAUUGCUAUUAAUCAUACUUUUACCUGAAUCUUUUAUAUUAUCUUUUUUAUUAUUAAUUGGACCAGUUAAGCUAUAUUCUGAAGAUGGAGAAAGAGUCAUAAUUUCAUUAUUAUUAUAUUCCACCAAACAUCCAAUACUUAAAAUUACGUAUUGUGAAGAACAAGGACAAUAAUGUCUUCUUGUAAAUUCUAUAUCAACAUCGCCAAUAUAAAUAUCAAUAUUAUAAGCAUUAUUAUCUAAUAGUGGGAAAUUACAUAGAGGAAGUUUUCUACCAAAUAUUGUUCCUUUAUUAAUUCCACUUGGAAUAUCAAUUCUAGUAUCAUAAUUAUAAGGUGUUGCCAAAUUUCCGCAUCUCAAAAAAAUCGUAAAUCCUUGA
This 506-nucleotide non-coding RNA is filed under the name Cryptosporidium parvum. Lineage: Eukaryota; Apicomplexa; Conoidasida; Eucoccidiorida; Cryptosporidiidae. The record is from RNAcentral.